This 1327-nucleotide long non-coding RNA is filed under the name Triticum aestivum (bread wheat). RNAcentral describes it as "long non-coding RNA (TAES_LNC012437)". Lineage: Eukaryota; Viridiplantae; Streptophyta; Magnoliopsida; Poales; Poaceae. The record is from RNAcentral.
UUCUUUAGGGCUUAACCCCUUUUGUUAUUCUACCUGCACUCUUCCGUAAACUAAAACGUGCAUUAUCAAUAGGAUCAAUUCUAACAAGUCACACACUCAUAUUCCAGAGAUACCGAAACAAAAAAAUUCCGCGGUCGAACUACCAUAAUAUCUAGAAAUGUAGAUCUUAAACUAGAAAGGCUUUUUUGGAUGGAAAAACUCUGACUUCCUAGUUUUAGUUAGUAGAAACCUAAUUGGUUAAAAUUCCAUCCAGUAAAACGGAAGAAUUAUAAAUUUCUAAAAUACAUAGCUUUCUUUAGUCUUUCCGGUAUAGCGUCGCGUCGGUCGAUAUCGCAGAGUCUAAUUUCCUAACUCGGAUUUGAACUCAGUGGGUAAUUUCUAACAAAGUUUUUCUCUUGUUGAUUCCUAAUUCUAGGUGUAGUGCUUUUCUCCCCUAUGCUGCCUACGGAUACUAAAGAUCACCGCUUUUCAUACGCUAAUUCGUGAUUCAAAGUAGAGCGAGUGAGGGAGCUAUACCCGGGACUCAAUCAACAUAUGCCAGAAAUAGGAAAUUGGAAUGAAAUCCAGUCUUAGUCAAAUACUUCAUAUCUCUUUGUGUCCAAGCAGAAGGAAAAGGAUACAAUUUGAGCCCAAUCCCUUUGGUCAUUUCGCUUUUCGUGCCGGCCUGUAUUCAGAGUUUCUUGGAUUUGCGGUGCCUGAAUGCCUUUCUCCUUCUUUUUGGUGACGCUUCGCUUGCAUGCAAGGCGGCUAAUAAAAGCGCCAGGUAGACGCGCGGAGAUGCAUUUUGAGUACUGGUGGUACUGGACAAGCUCUAGGGGAAUAAUCUCUUUCUUAUUUCUUUCUUAUUCCUUUCAUUUGUUGCUUUGUCUUCGGUUUGUUUUUAAACUCGACCUUCUAUCGGGACUGUGGUGACGAACCUUACUCCCCUCGGUCAAGUGGUUGACCCGUCUGUCCAAUAAGUUUACUAAGUGAAUGGGAAUCCUAUAGUUUGACCAGCCUGGAUCUCUAUUCUCCAUAAGGAUAGGGUUUAUUUGAUUGGCAUUCACGCCUUUUAGAAAGAGCCACUCAAUGCAAUUCACUUUUAGGCGAAGAGAGUAGCAGGGACUAUGGUAUCGAAUUUUUUCAUUCGAGUAUCUAUUAGAAAUGAAUUCUCCAGCAUUUGAUUCCUUACUAACAAAGAACUUUUUGGUACACUUGAAAGGUACCCCAUAGCAUGACUAAUUGAUAAAAUGUGGAGGAAAGUAGGGGAAAUGGCCGAUACUACUGGAAGAAUUCCUCUUUGGCUGAUAGGAGCGUAAAUAAUUGUAACCAUAUACAUAUAAAAUGA